GCGUGGCUGCCUAGUGAUGACAUCUUUCUUUCCCGCCCACCCCUCCUCACAAGCUUCUUAGCGAUUUGGUUUUGCUGUGCAUCUGGCAAAAUGAAGCUGGCCCAGUGACAAAUUUGGUUGCCUAACCAGGAGCUUUUACUGGCAGGGGCCAGGUUGAGGAAGAAAGGGGAACAAAUGGAGAAUGACGUAACUGGCUACUCCACUGGUGGCUGCCUUAACACAGGACGAGCUGGACCAAAUCGAGGAACCCACAGGGACUUAGCAAGAGGUAAGAGGUGCCAAACUUCCCCUUGAAUGGCCCGCCCGAUUGUGGGUGCACUCUGGCUUCCUUUCAGCUCUUUGCACGUGUAAAGCUCUUUCUUGCCUCAGGACGUUUGUACAUGCUGUUCUCUUGGCCUCAUAUGCUUUCUCUACUUUCUCUCCAGUUACCUCCUCCUCAUUCUAACAUGUCUAUCACUAUACAGAUAUCUUGGCCUAGCUAAAUCAGGUUUCCUUCAAAGCUCUGAGUGUUUUGUUGUGCUGUCCCUUUUCUUCCGCUUGACUCUAAAUUCCAUGAGGGUAAGCAAGUCCAUUUCAUUGGAUAUGCCCAAUUCUUAGCAUGAUUCCUGACACACACGAGAUGCUCAUUAACCACCUAUUGAUCCUGGGACAUCUGAAUCUAGAACAAAGCUACAGGCGAGAAAUUUGUGGUUCCUAUCUAGUCCUUCGUUUGAAUUCAGCAGGACGAGAGUAGUGUAACAGCUUUAAUGUAAGCUCCGUAAAGGGACUGAGGGCAACACGGUGCUUGUAUCUGCCUCCAAGAUAUUUAACACUCCUGAUAUGGUGGUUAUUGCAUAUACUAGGAAAUCACGGCAGCGCUUUUGAAACAAAAAUGCUACUCCUGGCUCUUCUGCUCUUUAAAUCAUUCCAAUGAUGCCUAUUCCUUCUCCUUCUGUGUGUGGGGAUCUGCCGGUUUGCCUUCUGCUGCCGUGGAGCAUUAUAUACCCCUCUGCCUAUUGUGGCUAAGUUGGAGGGCUUGCUCCACUUUACCAAGACAGGCACCCACAUACUCAUAACUGCCAAGUACACCUUCCUCACCCUGACUUCUCUAUCUGAAUAUACUUCUCUUUCAUGGACCUCCAGGCCCCGUUUGAAUUUUCCGUAUUUCCAAAUGACUCAUAGUCUCCUCAGCCAAAUUAAGCAGAAGCCUGGAAUCCAUCUAUUUGACAAGGUUUAACUGUUGGUUUUGUCAGGUACUCCUCUGCGUGCAGAAUCAGAGAAAUGAAAGAUGUCAUCCACAUCCUCAGGGGCUAAUUGUCUCAGGAGGUUGCCUGUAUACACACUUAAAAAAAAAACCCUUAUUAUCAUUAUGAUUAUUUUUGCUUUCUUGGGCUGUCCCUGCAGCAUAUGGAAGUUCCCACUAGGGGUCGAAUCAGAGCUGCAGCUGCUGGCCUACAUGACUGCCACAGCAACGCCAGGUCCGAGCCAUGUCUUUGAACUACACCAUAGCUUUCAGCAACGCUGGAUCCCCAACCCACGAGCGAGGCCAGGGUUUGAACCCACAUCCUCAUGGCUACCAGUCAGGUUCGUGACCGCUGAGCCAUAAUGGGAACUCCCUGUAUGCAGUCCUUAUUUGCCUUUCAUUGGCUUUUCUCAGCUUCCCUCUCACAGUGAGUCUGACUUAUCAGGCUACCCAGGGUUUUCCAUUAAAGAAGAGAAAAACUGAUUGUAGAGUUCAUUCUGAAGUCAUUGUAACCAUUCCUAUUUAGACUUUGUGUCCCAGGGCAUUGUCCUUUGGAGAAGACCCUUGUGCAAGGGUCCUGAAGUCUAAGAAAUGAAUCUUAAAUGGAAGGGUCGACAGAUUAACAUGAGGGCUGUGUAAUGACUUGAAGUUAAACGAGGGUAACACUUAAGGCUGCCUUGUCAUAGCAGGAGGAAUUGAACCAGCUCACUGAGCCCAGGGGGUGUGGCCCUUAUUCCUUGGGCCCCCAGGUAGUGUCCUCUGGAGCAUCACUCACUCUACUCAUGUACCAGUAACCCCCCCAGGCCAGGGAAUAGCGGUUUGGGGCCGGAGAUCUCAGAACACUUCUAACAGGUCCUCCCAGAAGGGAACCAGAGAGAUGAGUAGAAGCAUAACCCUCACUUUUCUGCUUAGGUUCUUGGAAAUACCAUCUGGCUGUCCUCCAUGUAGAUGGUCUUCUUUUUGUGGUAAGAAAUAGGUAAGGUAACGUCAAUAUAUCCUGCCAAUAUUUUUCAGAAUGUCUUGGGAACAGUGCAGUAAAACUGAUCUCUCAUUGCUGUUAUGAAAACAUAAAAUGGGUAGGAAAUGCAUCACUCUGAAACUGGGCGACGGUCACAGUGUACUGAACUAGCUUAUACAAGAUUGGAAGACUUGGAGCUCACAAAUGAUCCCUUUUCAUGAGCAGAAUGCAUCUUUCUCAUCAUGUGCUUUUGUUCCCUACACCAUCCCCUGAACCACCUAAGUUCACCUCAGUAGGGUGAUCACAUUGAAGGGCCUCUGAAAAGAUGAGGAUUUGAUUCAGAGGCAUUUCGAUGUGGCAGAAAGAAUGGAGUUUGGAGUUGGGCACACCUGGAUUCUAAUAUUAGUGUUGACGUGUGUAGACCUUGGGAUCGGCACAGCUUCUCUGGGCUCAUUGUUUUGAGAGCAGCCAGAGUAUGGUUGUGGCUUAGCAUCUGGCAUGAGUAGGGCUUUCAACACUUUGCUUUCUUGCCCACUUCCCCAACUUGUAGUCAGAUGUCACUCAAAAGGGGGUUUUUGUGUGUAUAUGAAAGUGUAAGUAACUUUAGGAGAGAAUGCGGUGAGGGAUGAGGGAAAGCUUCAGCAGAGGUAACUUCUUUUGCUCAAGAUGACUCUGAGUUUUUACUGAUGUCUCAGAAGUAUCUCUGGGCAGGCUGAAGACAAAGGUAUUUGCUUGGUAGGCAUCCAGAAGGUGCCUUUCAGUGCCUUCAUGCCAAGAAUUCUUUUGCCUAAACACAUACUCAAUCAUGAAAAGACGUACUGGUCAUCAGUCAUGCCUCUAUUAGGUCUUAUCUCAGUAGGCAUGGAACUGAAGGGGAUAAGCACUUAGGGAGGUCAGACCCUGUGACUCUUCAAAUACGUUUGCCCAGGGAUGAAGCUUAAAACAAAGGACACGAGCCAGAAUACUUUUGUGAUAACUUUUUUCUUUAGAAAAAAAAAUGUACAAAAAGAAAAGUUAAAGAAGAACCAACAUGGAAGUGUCAAGAGAACAUUCUGAUGGGUACAGACAAGGGAGCGCCUUCUCUCGAAGGAGUUACACAUUAGUUAUUACCAUGCUAGAAAAAUGAGAUGCAGUUAAAAUUGGAGCCAUAAAGUCAAGCUGUUGCUCUGGGGCUCUAGGCUGUAGAUGCUCCGCCACCCUUCCUGUAAAGUAAUACUGUGCAAACUAUAAAAUAUACAUUUUCUACAAAGUCCGUACAGUGAGAUAUACAAAACUGAGUGGAUAGGGGAGGCUGGUAGUGGCAUUUUUGGGGAACGCAGGUGGCAGUAUCACCUGCCAGCCCAAGGGCAUGGCUGCAGAGUGAUCUUGAAUUUCUUACACAGGAGAGGCCCUUAGGUAAGAAAGAAUCAUGCCCAGCAUUGCUCAAAUCCAGGAUUCCCUGUCACUGGUUGUGUAACUUAGGUGAUCUUUUAUUAAUAUAUUACUUUGAAUGUGAUCACGUGUCAAGAAAUCUGAACACAAAGUUCUUUUUCAGGGUAGUAUUUUUUCCUGCACAAUUGAUUGCUGAGAUUGACCAUUAACCAACAUCAUUUUCCCUGUAACGCAAAAGUGAAGUUUCAUUAAAAUUCCAAAAUUCCAGAAGAGGCAGCAACCGUGGUAGUAAAAGAUUAAAGUGAAUUAUUAUGUUCAUUUUAUUGGUAUCUAUAAAACUGAGAAAAGAGGGUUUGUGUACAAAUAUCACCAAACAACAUCAACCAUUGAAUAAAUGUGGUUCUUCGAUGCACACCUGAACAAGAAAGUUUUCUUUAAAAUUCUGGCAUAAAUAUAUUAAAGCUGACCAAAAAAAAAAAAAAAAA
RNAcentral lists this long non-coding RNA (4036 nucleotides) under Sus scrofa (pig). RNAcentral's name for it is "lncRNA (ENSSSCG00015001508.1)". The record is from RNAcentral. Lineage: Eukaryota; Metazoa; Chordata; Mammalia; Artiodactyla; Suidae.